This 743-nucleotide ribosomal RNA is filed under the name uncultured bacterium. Its description in RNAcentral is "bacterial SSU rRNA". It matches the Rfam family "Bacterial small subunit ribosomal RNA", at positions 33 to 773 of the family's 1533-position model. The record is from RNAcentral.
ACGCUGGCGGCAGGCCUAACACAUGCAAGUCGAGCGGUAGAGAGAAGCUUGCUUCUCUUGAGAGCGGCGGACGGGUGAGUAUGCCUAGGAAUCUGCCUGGUAGUGGGGGAUAACGUCCGGAAACGGACGCUAAUACCGCAUACGUCCUACGGGAGAAAGCAGGGGACCUUCGGGCCUUGCGCUAUCAGAUGAGCCUAGGUCGGAUUAGCUAGUUGGUGGGGUAAUGGCUCACCAAGGCGACGAUCCGUAACUGGCCUGAGAGGAUGAUCAGUCACACUGGAACUGAGACACGGUCCAGACUCCUACGGGAGGCAGCAGUGGGGAAUAUUGGACAAUGGGCGAAAGCCUGAUCCAGCCAUGCCGCGUGUGUGAAGAAGGUCUUCGGAUUGUAAAGCACUUUAAGUUGGGAGGAAGGGCAGUUACCUAAUACGUGAUUGUUUUGACGUUACCGACAGAAUAAGCACCGGCUAACUCUGUGCCAGCAGCCGCGGUAAUACAGAGGGUGCAAGCGUUAAUCGGAAUUACUGGGCGUAAAGCGCGCGUAGGUGGUUCGUUAAGUUGGAUGUGAAAUCCCCGGGCUCAACCUGGGAACUGCAUUCAAAACUGACGAGCUAGAGUACGGUAGAGGGUGGUGGAAUUUCCUGUGUAGCGGUGAAAUGCGUAGAUAUAGGAAGGAACGCCAGUGGCGAAGGCGACCACCUGGACUGAUACUGACACUGAGGUGCGAAGCGUGGGGAGCAAAC